AUGAAUUCAACCUCGUCAACGGCAGCAAUGCCUUGGCAGGUUUCAUAUCCAUAACACCUGUGAACUGUAAGAUGUGGUGAUUUCGAUCCCCAUCUGCCCCAUUUAAACAUUAGUAGUAACAAAAGUAGUAUUAUUAUAAUCUAAUA
RNAcentral lists this unclassified non-coding RNA (146 nucleotides) under uncultured Basidiomycota. Its description in RNAcentral is "sequence contains ITS1". Lineage: Eukaryota; Fungi; Basidiomycota. The record is from RNAcentral.